Trichechus manatus latirostris (Florida manatee) is the source of this 2423-nucleotide long non-coding RNA. RefSeq lists it as uncharacterized. The record is from RefSeq and is a predicted model, not a curated record. Lineage: Eukaryota; Metazoa; Chordata; Mammalia; Sirenia; Trichechidae. The transcript is spliced from 2 exons.
CGCCACCGUUGGAAUUUCUUGAUGUUUGCUGCAGUCUUGUGAAAGCUGCUGCUGCAGCAAGGGGCAAGCCUCCCGCAGAGUCUCUGCAGCCUCAUGCUGUACUGUCUGUGAUACAGCCAUCCCACCGUACAGAUGAAGGUGAGAAUAAAAAAGUUUUGAGGAUUUAUUUAUUUUGGAGUUUGGAGAUAGAUGUUCAUCUACUGUGCUGAAGGAAGGUGAGAUAAAAAUGGGUACUGAUUUACCUUUAGUACCUUAAAAUGUUUCCUUUAUAUUUUUCUCUUGAACUAUCAGGCUUUUAAGGGGCUUGUUCACACUUAGAUGCUGUAAUCUGAAGACGAAACACGAGGCUGUGGCUGUUUACCUCACAGACUGAGCCGCAGACAGGAAAUGCUCAGUGGCAGGCGGAGGCUGGGGUCUUUCUCCGACGCGACGCCGUCCCCACAUCAGACUUUCCUCUAGGUUGGGUGUGGGAAUCGCUCCAGCAACACCCUUCUUUAGUGGACCCAAAAGCCACCCCCGGCUGACUGGAGCUGUUUGUGGGCCAACUGCUGCCUGUGUCUGAAGGCCUUUGUGCCUGCUUGUGGUUUUGCUCACAAACCUGUAUCAGAAAACACAAUUGCAUGAUGCAGCUAUCCAGUAUGUUUAGUUUCCUACUUUUGUUGUAUUUUAAAUUCAGGGCAAACAUAAAUUAUAUUGAGAGUCUUACACUACCUAGUUUUGCUCCCUGGAGAGCCUUUGGGAAGUACGGGGUGUUUUGGAAUCUUACCUCCCUCUAGCUCUUUUCCCUACUCCAGCUUUUCCUAUAGCAGAGAGAGAAUGUUCGUUAAAGCAAAGUGAGCUGUUGCUCAGGAGAAAUUAAUGCCUUCGGGAAAAGCUAUGAAAGAGAGUUACAAACAUUUUGGACAAAUUAUGUUCUGGAAAGCUGUCCCAGACAUGUAGUCUUAUCCUUCUAUUUGACAUCAACGACCAGCCCAGAUGAGUGGGCAUCUGGAGGGCUGGAACUGGGGGCAGGGUAGUUAAAGGACUUGGGUGGGGCUCCCCUUAGUUCAACCGGGGAUGUGCACAUUGUAUGGACUCACAGGCAGCAACCUGUCCUGGCUAGGAUGCUGGGGGGCACUGAGAGGAUUCUUCCCCACCCCACAGCGGAUUCCGGGGCCCAACCGAGGAGAAUUAAUCCCUGUGUUUCUGCCUGCAGCUUCUGGCCCCUUGGCUCUGAGGACAAAGGCACAUGAAGGCCUUUCUCAGCUUCUGCUGUACCUUUUGUGGCCCAGAGAUGUCCCAGCUGAUUGGAGGUAAUUUAACUAAAUGUCACUCACCAUACCAUCCGGACAGAGACAGAAGUAUUUAAAUCAGGCCCUAAAGGGCUCUCCAUGCACCUCUGGAGAAAUAGCUGCUGAUACACAUAAAGCUGCUACUUAGUACCAGUUUGCAGCCUCCCGUAUUUCAGAGGGGGCUGGCAACACUGAUUAUGGCCACCCCUUCUCGGGGAGGGUCAGCAGAGGCCCGGAGGAGAAGGGAGGAGGCUCAUCUCUCAUCUAGGUGGCUGAUCAGAGUCAGGGCACCAGAUUUCUCACUGCUCAGGACACCACCCUGGGGUAUCACCAGAGCUGGGUCUGCGGUUGUUCAAUCUGCCCCCUCCUGCUCCCUUCCUCACUGGAGACUGGCACCAUUCAUCCUUUGCAGCAGCAAUUCCCGUGGAUUUUGCAAUUUGAGAGAUCACUUUUCCUUUAACAAAGGGGGAGGGGCAAACCUGAAUACCACCCCCGUCCCUGCCUGAUAGCCUGUCCACUUCUGCUUCAUUCCUAGUCACCCUCUAAGUUAGGGACUGGGUUGUUCCAUCCUUGCCCACGCUCUGACUGUGGCUUCCAACUUUGGCUUCCUCUAGGGGCCCCACCAUCACUGUGCAGAUGAGCUGCCGCAGGUCUGGGCACGGCCCUCGGGGGCGUGGGCGGGGAGGGGAGAGCGGAGGUGGGGCACCGCAGAGCCUUGGUUGGCAGGGACAGGCUUGGUGAUGAUGCCCAGGGCAGGCAGUAUUUCCAGACGGACCUGAGGAGCCUGACCUACUGGUCAGUGAUGUGUUUGCUGACAGGGCUGCUGCCUCACCGGUGCCUUCUGACUCAGGAGUUCCUACUGAAGGGAAAAGCUUCCCGAGUGCACCUGAAAACCGAAUUGUGCGGUAGCACAGCUCCUAGUUACCAACUCCGCUGUUUCCAACCCUGCACGGUGGAAGUGGGAUGACUGGAAGCUGAAGGUUCAUGCCUGGAUGGACAGGUUGAGAAGCCAACUCCCCCAAACACUUCUGCUGAGUAGGUAGAUGAAGAUGUGACAAACUGGGCAACAUUUUUAUGUUUCAAACCACAGUGAGCUCAGAGCUUGGAGUUGCAAUUUAUGUCCUCUGUCAGAAUAAAACAAUCUCACAAGAA